ACUGAAACUGUUUGGUGGACC
This 21-nucleotide non-coding RNA is filed under the name Rattus norvegicus (Norway rat). The record is from RNAcentral. Lineage: Eukaryota; Metazoa; Chordata; Mammalia; Rodentia; Muridae.